UGGUUCAGUGGUAGAAUCUUUGUCUACCACACAGGAGAUCUGGGUUUGAUUCCCAG
This 56-nucleotide transfer RNA is filed under the name Alligator mississippiensis (American alligator). It matches the Rfam family "tRNA", at positions 8 to 63 of the family's 71-position model. From Rfam's summary of the family: Transfer RNA (tRNA) molecules are approximately 80 nucleotides in length. The record is from Rfam by way of RNAcentral. Lineage: Eukaryota; Metazoa; Chordata; Crocodylia; Alligatoridae.